GACGAACGCUGGCGGCGUGCUUAACACAUGCAAGUCGAACGGAAAGGCCCUGCUUUUGUGGGGUGCUCGAGUGGCGAACGGGUGAGUAACACGUGAGUAACCUGCCCUUGACUUUGGGAUAACUUCAGGAAACUGGGGCUAAUACCGGAUAGGAGCUCCUGCUGCAUGGUGGGGGUUGGAAAGUUUCGGCGGUUGGGGAUGGACUCGCGGCUUAUCAGCUUGUUGGUGGGGUAGUGGCUUACCAAGGCUUUGACGGGUAGCCGGCCUGAGAGGGUGACCGGCCACAUUGGGACUGAGAUACGGCGCAGACUCCUACGGGAGGCAGCAGUGGGGAAUAUUGCACAAUGGGCGGAAGCCUGAUGCAGCAACGCCGCGUGCGGGAUGACGGCCUUCGGGGUGUAAACCGCUUUCGCCUGUGACGAAGCGUGAGUGACGGUAAUGGGUAAAGAAGCACCGGCUAACUACGUG
RNAcentral lists this ribosomal RNA (468 nucleotides) under uncultured bacterium. RNAcentral's name for it is "partial 16S ribosomal RNA". It matches the Rfam family "Bacterial small subunit ribosomal RNA", at positions 28 to 507 of the family's 1533-position model. The record is from RNAcentral.